Molecule: long non-coding RNA, 1081 nt
Organism: Daphnia pulicaria
Lineage: Eukaryota; Metazoa; Arthropoda; Branchiopoda; Diplostraca; Daphniidae
Exons: 5
Source: RefSeq, a predicted model, not a curated record
CUUUUCAAGUGUUUAAAAUAAGUCCUUUGCUUAUGGUUUCUUUUCUUUUGUUUAAACUUUAAGUAGACACAUGAACAUUAUAGGGGUACCUUUGUAACUGGGUCGAACCCCUUUCCAUGGAAAACUUUAUUUUUUAAAUAAAAAUUUUGUUUUUAUGGUUUGAAUUGCGUCUCGGGGGCUUCCGCAUUCUGAAAGAACAUAUCCAAUCAAUGUUUCGGCUUAAAUAUGAAUUAAAAUCGUGGAAGACCAUGUAACGGACUGAGGAGAAGCGAGCCAAAUUUAAGUAGCUCUAAAUCGUAUUGGCUACUAGCUAGGCGUUAGCGCUCUUGCCUAAAAUUGCAUCAUGUUUGAUCAUUUAUAAAUCGGUGUAAACGAAUCAAGGGAAAGGUAAUACCGAGAACGGGGCGAGAUCUGUCCAACCUUCGAAAACUCUUGUGGAAAUCAAAGUCCGAUUCUGCCAGGAUGAUUUUCGGAGUUGCAGUCAGGCAAUUUCAAUAGGAGCUUGACGAAAUUACAUCACCAAUAGCCCUAUUCGUUUUCGACACUGGAAAGACCGCCAAACGCCCGAAAAUAACCAUUUACGAUGAAUGACAAUGCUUUCUUCACCAAGAAAAACCGUAAAUAUUUUUAUCACUUUCAGUCCGUAUUAAUUACGUUACUGGAAAGUGUGGCAUGACGUGCGACACGAGGUGGAGGGCCAAUGGAAUCCAUUUGUCUUGUGUAGCCGGCACUUUGAUUCUGUAGAAAACAUUUCUAUUUUUAAAAUGGAAUCCUAGUAGUGACUUUUCUCUUACUGUUAUAUCGAUCAGAUUACUAGACUUCAUGCACCUUGGACGUCAGAGUCUAACCAAGAGGUUUUGCUUCCGGAGCAGAAGAGAAAGUCAUUCGAGUUUUCGAAGCACAUCACAAUUUUCUACAGAAAUUUGCCCGGAUCUGUCGUAUUCAUCAGCCAAUCCCAGAAAGUAAUAUUUUCUAUCGACUUUCCCACAUACCUAUUCUAAUUUUUAUUGAAGCAUGCUGGGUGUUCCUCAGGGUGAUCCUGUUCAAGUCUUGUGUCUUUCCAAUAAACCCGUUUACCAUA